UACGACCAUAUCAUGUUGAAACACCGAUUCUCGUACGAUCACGCAUAUUAAACAACGUCGAACCUGUUUAGUACCUAGGUAGGUGACCACUUCGGAAUACCAGGUGCU
Acanthosepion pharaonis is the source of this 108-nucleotide non-coding RNA. The record is from the annotation of a GenBank genome assembly. Lineage: Eukaryota; Metazoa; Mollusca; Cephalopoda; Sepiida; Sepiidae.